AUUUUUGCAACAUAUAUCAAAUGUUGCUAAAAAGAAAAACUCAUCAAAAGUUAAUUAGCCCUAAUUUUUCCUUCUUUUCUCGUCUCCACAUCUCACCGUCUCUCGUCACUUCCUCGCUUGACAUUAUCGAUCCUUCUUAGAGGCAGACACCGUCGUCGUUGGAAGGUACCACCAUAACCAACGGUGGCUAGCAAGUUAAGAUGCCUCUCGCCAAGGACCAUCUGCGCCGCUAGGGAUUUUCAGAUAAUCCGUGAACUCGGCCACAAGUCCAAUGGGUAGACUACUGAGUGGCUUCUUCGUCACGCGAAGCCUUCAAUUAAGUUGCCACCGGCACCGACACAACCCUUACUAGUUUCGCCACCGUCUGGACCUCCACUUGGAACUCCUCCAUCCCUCAUUCACAGCUUACUCCAACCAAUUUUCCGAAAAACCAAGGGAAGACGAUGUUAAUUCAUACUAAAUUAUGAAUUAUUUAAGCUAAGUCAUCAGUUGUGCAUAAGCUUCCGUAUAUUUGGUUUUUUUAUUGUGAAUUAUCAUUGUGGUUUUCAAUUUAUGAUGCUGAUAUUGAUAAAUUCAGUGUAUUUUGUUGGAAAAAAUUGAGUGAGCGGCUCACUUUUGGUACAAUUUUCAUGGGACCCGUUGGUCCAAUGUAGAAUAUCAAAGUUGAUAUGUGUUCUCCUCCGCGAGAACAUCGAUUUCAUGUAUUUAUUUGCCAAAAAUGAAACUCGGGUGAAUGAGAAAUUGGAGUUCAAAGUUGGUCAUUGGAAGUUGGUUUUGUGGGAAAAAAUGUAUUUUUCCCACAUAGGAAAAUUAAGAAAAUUUAAACCACUUUAUAUAUGGAUAUACUUUGGAGAUGUGUAGUCAUGUGUAGCAUAGAGGCUCUCUCCAGUGCGCGCGCAGGGGGUGCAAAUCACGAGCCGAAAUGGCCUUCGGACCUUGAACUUGGGUGCGGGCGCGACCUGUGCACACGAAUGUCGGACCGAACAAGGCAAAAAUGGCUCCAUAGGAGAGUCCACAUUUUGCCAAAUUUUUUUCGGCUUUCUCCAAUGACUUUUGAGUUUCUAAACUGCAGAAAUUCCCAAUGUUUAUUGCUAGAACUGAAAAGCUGAAACUCCAGUGGUUAAUGUCGUAACUCCAGCGACUCCAAUGGACAGGACUCAGUCUAUAUAAGGGACGCUCACCCAACAGUUCAAUACACGAACGAAAAUUUCUCUCUGGAUACAAAAAUAUUCUUCCCAGUUUUCCAUGCAGUGUCGUUUUUCCCAGUUUCAGUUUCCAUACAGUGUAGUUCUGUUCCUUUCCAGUCACGUGUAGUUCGUUGGAGUAGGACCGUGGUGCUCGGAUUUUGCUUAUUAUCGUCGUAUCCUGGGAGACAGCCGCUCGAACUGAACCUCCAGCACCUACGGUGAGGGGGCGAAACUGUCUUAAGGAAACUGUGCACGCGUAUGCCUCGGUUUGAAAUCUGCUGCAGUUUGUGUUUUCUUUCUACAGAUUUAUUUCGUUGCAGUUCGUGUAGUUUCUUUGCAGAUUCAGUUUAUCCUUGCAGUCUCAGUUUCCAUUUAUUUCUGCAGAUUAUUUUCGUAUUACUAUUUAAUUCAUGCAGUUUGUAGUUCCAUAGUGUGCAGCUUCCAGAUUCAUCGUUUACAGUUUUAGCCUGCAGUUAACUUAUAUUUCUGAUUUUAUGUUGCUAAACAUUUUUUUUCAGCCAUUGAAAAAUUCUGAAACGAAAUUCUUUUUUUUAUAAAUUGAAAUUUUUGCCUUGUGGUUAUCAAUUUCAAUAGUCGGCUAUUGCAUUUGAAUAAAACUUAUACAAUUGAUUUCAUCCACUAGCGACUUGUUUUCCUACAAGUUUAAGACAGUUUUCUGAGUUCGGAAAACAAGAGUUGAUUUUUGGUUUAACUGAAUUUUAGUUACUUGGAACUAAUAUUUGGUUUUCAAAAACAAGAGUCGUUUUUUUUUUGUUUCAUUGAAUUGUAGUUUUUUGGAACUAAUAUUUGGUUUGUUUUCAGAAAUGGCAACCGAAUCGAACAACAUGGAUGUGACCCAAAAUGUUCUCGUUGGAAAUCAGGCUGUGGGUUCUAAAGUGGCUCAAGGGCCAAGCUCCGUUGUGGCUCAGACUGUGGCUAGAAUGCCAAGUCAUGUUGUGAGCCAAACUGGCCAAACUGUAACUGUUCCGGUUAAUCAUGGAGAAAAAUCGAAGAAAUUUGAUGGCUUGAAUUUCAAAAGGUGACAACAGAAAAUGGUUUUUUACUUGACCACCUUGAAUCUUGCGAGAUUCUUGACUGAAACUGCUCCAAAGCUUAAUGAGGGCGAGGGAGAUGUGAAAGCAUUGAGUGCACUUGAUGCUUGGAAGCAUUCGGACUUUCUGUGCCGAAAUUAUAUCAUGAACAGCCUAGCAGAUGCGCUGUACAAUGUGUAUAGCACCAUGAAAACUGCUAAGAAAUUGUUGGAGUCCUUGGAUCGGAAAUACAAAAUUGAGGAUGCCAAGGCUAAAAAGUUUAUAGUCAGCAAAUUCCUAAACUAUAAGAUGAUGGACUCCAAAACUGUUAUCAGUCAAGUGUAAGAACUCCAAGUGAUCCUUCAUGAAAUUCAUGCCCAAGGAAUGAUGUUGAGUUAAACUUUUCAGGUGGCUGCAAUUAUAGAAAAAUUGCCCCCUGUGUGGAAAGAUUUUAAGAACUAUUUGAACACAAACGAAAGGAAAUGAACGUCUAAGAGCUCGUUGUUAGACUUCGAAUCGAAGAAGACAACAACAGUUUCGAGAAUAAAUGGUUCAAUCCUGGUGGCUAAAGCCAAUGUUAUGAAGCUUGGUCAAAAUAGUAAGAACUAUAAAAAUAAGUCUGGGUCAUCUGGUGGCAAAAGAACUUAGCAAGGACCGAAAAGUGGAAUUGUCAAGAAGAAAUUUCAAGGGAAAUGCUUCAAUUGUGACAAAGUGGGUCACAAGUCUUCGGAGAGCAGAUUACCGAAGAAGAAGAAAGAAGUGAACGUGGUUGACUACAUGGCACAAGAUGUGUCGGAGUUGAAUCUCGUAACAGUCAUUUCUGAAGUAAACAUGGCGGGUUCAAACCCUAAAGAGUGGUGGAUUAACACCGAUACUACAAGGCAUGUGUGCUCUGAUAAAGAGAUAUUUGAUACGUUCGAAACUGUUGAGAACAAGGAGAAGUUGUUCAUGAAAAAUUCAGCAACUUUUGAAAUCAAGGGUCAAGGAAAAGUGGUUUUGAAGAUGACCUCGGAAAAGGAGCUGACUCUCAACAACGUGCUUUAUGUGCCGAAAAUUCGUAAGAAUUUAGUGUCCGGGUCGCUUUUGAAUAAGCAUGGUUUUCGCAUUGUUUUUGAGUCAGACAAAGUCAUUCUGUCAAAAAGUGAAAUGUUUGUCGGAAAAGGUUAUGUUUCCGACGGUAUGUUUAAACUCAAUGUAAUGGUUGUGAAACCAAAAAUAAAUAAAGUAAGUUCUUCUGCUUAUUUGCUUGAGUCUUCCAAUUUGUGGCAUGAUAGACUAGGACACGUUUACUAUGAUACUUUACGAAGACUAGUUAACUCUAACUGCAUACCUAAGUUAAAUAACGAUUCCAAACAUAAGUGUGAAACUUGAGUUGAAACAAAAUCGACAAGGUCAUCGUUUAAAUCAAUUGAACGGAACACAGAACCACUAGAUUUAGUUCACAGUGACGUGUGUGAUAUAAAAGUUGUACAAACAAGAGGUGGCAACAAGUAUUUUAUUACUUUUGUCGACGAUAGCACAAAAUACUGCUAUGUAUAUCUACUUAAAAGCAAGGAUGAAACUAUAGAGAAAUUUAUUCUCUAUAAGAAUGAAGUUGAGAAUCAACUUAAUAAAAAUAUUAAGGUGCUGCGAAGUGAUCGAGGUGGUGAGUAUGAAGCACCAUUUGCUGAAUUCUAUGCACAACACGGAAUCAUACAUGAAACCACCGCCCCUUAUUCACCGCAACAAAAUGGUGUUGCUGAACGAAAAAAUCGUACCUUAAAAGAGAUGAUGAAUACAAUGCUCAUAAGUUCUGGAUUACCUCAAAACAUGUGGGGGGAAGCUGUGUUAUUAGCAAAUUACCUUUUAAAUAAGGUGCCCUGAAAGAAAUCAGAAAAGAUCCCUUAUGAGUUAUGGAAAGGAAUAAUGUCAACCUAUAAACACUUGCGAGUGUGGGGUGUCUUUCUAAAGUGGCUGUUCCACCACCAAAGAAGGUAAGGAUAGGCCCGAAAACUAUAGACUGUGUCUUCAUUGGCUAUGCACAAAAUAGCAGUGCGUAUCGCUUUCUUGUGUAUGAUUCAAAAAUUUCAGACAUACACAAAAACACGAUAAUGGAAUCAAGGAAUGCUACAUUCUUUGAAGAAGUAUUUCCAUACAGAUCCAAAGAAGAAGCAAGCUCCUCUAAACGAACAUAUGAGACAAUGACUGAAAAUAGUCAGAACGAAGAAUUAGAAGAGGAGACUGAGGUUAGACGCGGCAAACGGGAAAGGACAGAAAAAUUUUAUGGUCCCGAUUUCUGACGUAUAUACUAGAAAGUGAACCUCAAAGUUAUCAAGAAGCAGUGAAUUUCUCAGAAGGACCUCAAUGGAAAGAAGCCAUUGAAAGUGAAAUAGAUUCCAUACUGUAAAAUCAUACAUGGGAGCUAGUGGAUCUUCCUCCAGGAAGCAAACCACUAGGCUACAAAUGGAUUUUCAAAAGGAAAAUGAAAGCAGAUGGAACUAUCGAGAAGUAUAAGGCCAUAUUAGUAAUUAAAGACUACAAACAAAGGGAAUGCCUUGAUUACUUUGAUACGCAUUCUCCAGUGACGAGAAUAACAUCUAUUAUGAUGAUACUUGUGAUUGCCGCUUUGCGAAAUCUUGAAGUACAUCAAAUGGAUGUUAAAACUGCCUUUCUAAAUGGAGAUUUAGAAGAAGAAAUUUACAUGGAACAACCUGAGGGGUUUUCAUCACCAGGACAUGAAAAGAAAGUCUAUAAACUGGUGAAGUCACUAUAUGGCUUGAAACAAGUACCAAAACAAUGGCAUGAAAAAAUUGACAAUGUCAUGAUUGAGAGUGG
Molecule: long non-coding RNA, 5032 nt
Filed under: Olea europaea subsp. europaea
Lineage: Eukaryota; Viridiplantae; Streptophyta; Magnoliopsida; Lamiales; Oleaceae
Source: RNAcentral